GGUGGGGGGUGACCGGAAGCUGGCGUCCUCUUUGCCGGGGAAGUCGUGAGAGGCCCAAGCGGGGUGACCAGCACCGGGCUGGGAGUGACCACCCGACUAACCUCCCCACACACUUGUCGGGGCUGUGGCUCCCAGAUACGAUGCUGACAAUCCCCGUUGCUGGAAGGUUCCACACGGGUCCCGGCUAACGGGGCAGAGGCCUGACGCCACCCAGUGGAACUGUGCCACGAAGACCACCAGGCCGGGCCCGAGGGGAGGAGACUGGGCAAGGGCAGCAUCUCUCAGCCCCUCUGGACGCCCACCUGCCCACCCACUGGGCACCGUACGGGCCCCGAGACCCUCCUCCCACGCCUCCUCUCCGGGCACCCACCCUCGAGACCUCCCUGCUGGCUGCCUCCGUUUCCCCUUCUGUGCCCCGGGAACGCCACGGGCUGCUGCUGCUGACAGACCCCCGGCCCCGGCCCUGUGAGCAGCUGUGACUCCCGGGAAACUUCCACUCCCAAGCGUCCCCGAGGCCGAAUUCCCCCUCUGAGCACGACUUUCCCCCAUGCCCAGGGAUCCCCCCGCUGCACGCCUGAGCCUUCCUCUUCCUCCUCCUCCUGUUUCCCUGUCUCCCUCGAGUGCCCCCCUCCCCCGAGCAGCACGGAGUGACACAGCGUAAGGAACAUGCCAGAAAGUCCUUUCCUCUGGGCUUACUAGUUCUAAUGCCAAAGCACGAAUAAAAGCGGGCGGGGGUGCCUCCAUCCUUGCCUUGCACCCAGGCCCUGACGGGCUUCUAAACUGCUCAGAGCCUCAGUUUUACCAUCUCUAAAGUGGGAGAGUAACAAUGCUGUCAGCCCCCUGAGGCCACCCCGAGUCGGCCCAUGCAGGACCCCAGGCCCACUCCUCCUUGGCCCCCAUUUCUGAGGGUGGCGUUGGACCAUGGGGCUCUCUGGGGGUGUCCUCCACUGGACAGAGGGCUCCCGCCAUUGUUAAGACCUCUGGCCAGCGGGUUCACUUGUCCAGGCAAUACUCACCCUACCCCGGGACAGGGUGAGCACACAUACACACACACAUGCACACACAUGCAUAGCCACACAUUCCUGCACAUAUCCACACACAUUCAUGUGCAAGCUCAUGCCCCGCACACCCAUAUACAUACACACGUGCUCUCAGGCACACAAACAUACGGACACGGAUAGAGGGCAGCCCGCACCCCUGGGGUAACGGGGGGGGGGGUAGGGCACUCUGGCUGCACCCACCCCUGCCCACGGGCUGCCUGCUAGGGAACAUCCAGGGCGCUCGUGGCAGGAAGGGCCCCCGAGCCUGCAACUCGUUCCCCCGCCCUCUGGGGAGCCGCCGGGCGCCCCGGUUUAUGUAAUCCCACUCACGUCAACGAGAAAUGGAAACGGGAAGUGAAGACGCCGGCAGGGGCGGCUGUCAAGCCCCGAGACCCGGGAGCCCGAGCAGAGAGAACCGAAAUUCGGCUGGUUCCUGGAUUCUGCGGGCACCUUUCCUGGGUAGCGCCUCUUCAGACCCUGGAAUAACUUGGUCCCUCGGGACGGGACAAGUGGCGCCCAGAACAGGGACCUGAAGCACGGCCAUCUACUGGACGGCGCCAGCAACGGAUUGGAGGCCCCCGAAGGAUCAGUGCUGCCCGAGUGAUCUUUGGAGGCCGGAACAUAAAAGACGACAGACCUACUAAUACAUUCUGGAUCCUGCUAUGGCCUCAUCUGGAGUAAAAUUCAUCCUCCUGGCUCAGUCUCCAGACCACCUGAGACUCCAACCCUCCAAACUUCAGCCCAGAGCAGAUCUCAGCUGGAAGUCACAAGAAAAUCUGAAGAAGACUCAGCAAAACAAAACCCGCAUGGGGAAGCACAGGCUGAAUUGGCCUGAGGACUUAGUCUGGGAUUUACGGUACCAACCUAAUCCUGAACCUCAGAGAACUUUGUACACUAGUAUAGAAUCCUUACUGUUCCAUUGUAAUCUAUGAGUGUUUUAAUCCUUAAAAAGUGUUCCUAGAAAUCAGAACUCUAAAGAUGUCUCCAGGUUAAUAUAUGUUGUAAGAACUUUAGUUGUGAGUAUCUUUAAAACUUUUUGAAAAUCUAUAAGAACUGAUAUAAUGUUUGUGACUGCAGAAUAGUUUUGCCAUGUUAAAUAAGAUGAUUGUCAACUUGUGUCCAAACUUGUGAGAUCAUGUUGUACCAAUUUCAGUGAGUUUAAACUUGUGGAAUGACUAUAGAUGUAUGUCUUAAGUCAGAAAGAUAAUGUAUGGAGAUAUCAUCAGUGAAAAUUAGAAAAGCAAAGUGUAGUUGGUUUGGAAAUGGAAAAGUUACAGGAUGUAAUGGAUGUAAAGGAAGUUUGAGGUUGUGUUUUGAGGAAAAGAAACUAAUCAAACUAUAUUGUUGUAAAACUCUUUAAAUAUAUCUGCAGAAUUGCUCUAGUAUCCAGACUCCUGUUACAGUGCUCUUAGAUCAUGGAAAAAUCAAUGUUUUCAACAUGGAACUAUAUAAAUUUUAUGUGAUGGUCACUGUGCUUCCCUGAAUCCUAUACUAUGAAGGAGACUCUAUCCCCACAGGUAACCCAUCAUCCCAUUCAGAAGAGGAAGGUGAUAUCCACUCUGACCAUAGCCAUGCUGUUUGGAACUGGACUGGCAGCUGUUUGGAACUGGAAUCAAUUCGCUUGCAACUCAGUGGAGCGGACUCUCAUCCCUUCGAACAGCUACUGAUGAGGACCUGGAGAGGAUCGAAACCUCCAUCAGUCAUCUGAGACAUGCCCCAGUUCCUGUCUGAAGUGGUGCUGCAGAACAGGAGAGGACUGGACUUAUUAUUGUUACAAAAGAGGGCGGACUCUGUGUAGCCCUUAAAGAGGAAUGCUGUUUUUAUGCAGACAAAACAGGUCUAGUACAGGAUAGCAUCAACAAGGUCAAAAAGAGCCUGGAAGAAAGGAAAAGGGCUAGAGAAAAACAGGAGUCAUGGUAUCAAAAUUGGUUUUCCACUUCACCCUGGCCGUCCACGUUACUGCCCAGCCUUUUGGGACCUCUCGUGGGUCUCCUGCUACUACUGUCCUUCAGCCCCUGGGCCUUUAGUCGCUUAACCUCUUUAAUUAAGUCGCAGAUCGACUCGGCUACCAGAAGCACGGUUGCUGUUCAUUAUCAUCGCCUUGGGCCGAUUCCGCCUCCUGAAGAGGGAGUUCCCGACCAAGUCCCAGAGACCGACCGGCUCAACUUCUCCCCAUUAGCUGAGAGAUUAGGGUCCCCUUGGUACCAUAGGCUCUGGGCUCAUUUCCCAGGAACACGGCACCCUGACAUCCCCUCUCCCACUCCGGGUCAGCUGUGAGGUUAGCCUAUGACGGGAUAUAGUGCAACGCCAGACCCGAGUAGGAGCAGCAAGGGGUCUCCAUGACGGGAGUGGUGUGAGGCCUUACCUCUUGGGUCCCCAUCACAUUCUCAGUAAGCGCUUACUCUGUGCAACCUCCCCUUAGCUUCACCUCGGGGGCGGCUGGCAGGAGAGUAACCAAGUGCCACAUAUGGAAGCACAGUGAUGGCGAGAGUAAGAAUCCCCUCACAUAGCCCAAGACAGAGCCCCUGCCCCCUCGGGUCUGGAGGCACGUUACACAGCCUAAGACACGGCGCCUCACCAACCCAGGCGGCUCUCAGUAGCCCUCAAUUUUUCAUAUAUAAACACACAGGGGGAGAUGUUGGGGGCCGAAACCUUGGAAAAGAGAACUUGGCCUUUCCCUAAACAAAGAUUAGCCACCAGGAUAUUAUGAAAAUAUAUGCGUCACAAGACAAUAGCUGAACUGUUACAGAGACAGACAUCCUGUGCUGGGGACAAAAAAGCACAGACAAAUCAUGCUCCGGCCCGUCAUGUUCCCUUACGCAAACACCCCUCGUGACCCCCUCCGGACCCCUGUUCCGGCCUGCCCUACAGCCUCUAUAUUCUGUAUACUUUCCUUCAAUAAAUGAGACCUUGACAACA
Sorex araneus (European shrew) is the source of this 3959-nucleotide long non-coding RNA. RefSeq lists it as uncharacterized. Lineage: Eukaryota; Metazoa; Chordata; Mammalia; Eulipotyphla; Soricidae. The record is from RefSeq and is a predicted model, not a curated record. The transcript has 3 exons.